UGCACCAAAGAAUUGGAGCCAUGGCAACACUGAAGCUAGGAUUCCAAGAGAGAAGGACUGCUAAACCAUUCAGUGCGAAAGCCCUGAGAAGCCAGGAUACCUGGGACUUGAGCCUGAGAUGGCGUUUGGACUUGGAUCUGUGCUUUCUGCAGGAGCCAAGCCAAGCUAUGAACCUAAUCCGCUUGCACUCCCCCAAAGAUGAGAUAGUGCAAAGGGGAAGGAUUAUGUCUCCCACCUGUUGGGGAAGAGACUCAAAUCAAGUGCUUUGGAAAAGCUAAUCCCCAAAUCUCCCAGAUCCUCAGUAGUCAGAGCUCUCUUCCUUUUUAUAUUAUCAAAUUGUGAAUGCUGGCAGGUUGAUCUACCAACAGCCAGAAUCAUCUAACUCCAGUGGUAGGAUAAAAGUCAAGAUAACUGGUUAUGGCCCCCAGGAUGCAGUGGAUGACCUUGGCAUCUUUGACAUCUGACCAGACUCUAAGCACUCCACAGUGCCUUCCUGGCCACUGGAACAGAUGUUCUCAUCUGUCCAUUCCACCUGGAAAAGUCUUCACAUGCUUCAGGUAGACGUCCCCCUAUCUCGUCAACAGGUUUGAGGCCUGUCAAUUACCUUCAACCUUGUUUAGUCCAUCUGCCAGGAUGGUUUACUGGGGCAUGGCUGCUAGGCAUGCUAGGGGUGUAUGGGGUGUUCAGGAAGGACUAGCACCUCUGGUGUGAGGGCUUGCCGAGCUUUUUUCAGGGCUGCUCAUCUACCUUUGGUGUCUACCUGUCACCAAACUAUCACCUAUUGGCUUUGGUGUCGUAUUUAGCUAACAAUUUUUUUUUAAACCACAGAUUUCUUACCAAAGGUCCUUGAUUCUUAAAACCUACAAAUUGGUAGAUGAGAGGAAUUUCACCCUGAUUCAAUGUGGUCAAUGAGAAUAGACACCAACAUUCAAUUUCACUGGAAGAAGGCUAAAGGAAACAUACAUUUGGAUAGGAGGAAUCUCUCCAAGGUGCUCUAGACCUCUCAUCCCUACGCCA
Phascolarctos cinereus (koala) is the source of this 1017-nucleotide long non-coding RNA. RefSeq lists it as uncharacterized. Lineage: Eukaryota; Metazoa; Chordata; Mammalia; Diprotodontia; Phascolarctidae. The record is from RefSeq and is a predicted model, not a curated record.